UAUACUCGUGUUGCAUGACAGCUUUGUA
Molecule: small RNA, 28 nt
Filed under: Bombyx mori (domestic silkworm)
Lineage: Eukaryota; Metazoa; Arthropoda; Insecta; Lepidoptera; Bombycidae
Description: ovarian small RNA-23345
Source: RNAcentral